AAUAGUGGUUUGUGGAUCCUCCUCCGUAUGACUUUUGAGGUUGUUGUUGUUGAUAAUGUGUGGUGUGAGUGUGUUGAAGAGGUGGUUGGAGAAUUCUUCAGCUUGUUCUUCGUUGCUUCUUUCCCAUGUGUUAUCUGCUUUUCUGAUUGCUGGGACGGGUAUUAUUGGCUUCCUUAUUUUUUUCGUGGCUUUCCAUAGUGAAUAGUUGGUGUUCUCGUGUGUGGAGAGUGUCCCUAUGAACUUUGCGAAUUCGUUAUCGUUGUGCUCCUUUAUUUUGUUUUUUAUUUUCUUUGCAAGUUUUUUGUUUAAGUGUUUUUUGUUUUCUCGGGUUCUGUAUUUUUGCCAUUUUGCUUUUGCUUUUCUUUUUUCUCUGAUUUUGUCGAGUAUUUCUUGCGGGAUUGUUAUUGUUUGUCUGCUGGUUGAUUCGGGUGUAGUGGUUGUCCUUGCUGCUUCUUGAAUAGUUGCUGUCAAUGUUGCUACUGCCUGUUCUAUGUGUUCAGGAGUUUUCAACGGGAUGUUGCAGUUUAUUUUGCUUUCUAUUAUUUUUUUGAAAGUUUGCCAUUUGGUGGUUUUAUUGCAUAGUGUUUCUGGUUUGCUAUAGUGUAUUGGUUUGUUUCUGUAUUCAAUUAUUAUGGGUGUAUGAUCGGAGCUGAACUCGAGGUUGGGUGUUAUUUUUAGUUUAUUUGUGUUUAGUCCCCUUGUAACUGCAAAGUCCAGAAGAUCUGGUUUUUUGUUCAGGUCAGUCGGCCAGUAUGUCGGUGAUCCUGUGGAUAAUAUAUUGAGGUUAUUGUUUCUAAUGUAUU
This 803-nucleotide unclassified non-coding RNA is filed under the name Bombus terrestris (buff-tailed bumblebee). RNAcentral describes it as "misc RNA ENSBTSG00005029767.1". The record is from RNAcentral. Lineage: Eukaryota; Metazoa; Arthropoda; Insecta; Hymenoptera; Apidae.